Molecule: long non-coding RNA, 999 nt
Filed under: Marmota monax (woodchuck)
Lineage: Eukaryota; Metazoa; Chordata; Mammalia; Rodentia; Sciuridae
Source: RNAcentral
GUUUUGGAUGGAAACUCAGUAUGUUUCUUAAAAAAGAACAAUAGAAACCCAAAACCUGAUUCACCUCUCUAUCCCGCCAUGGUGGCCACAGAUCGAAUCCAAUCCCUUCAUUUUGCCAGUGAGGAAAUGCCCUGGGAAAAUUAAAGCAAAUUACUCCAGGUUACAGGGCCAUUCUCAGGUCUUUUCACACCUGGAUGAGGGGUCUUUUCAAUGCACUACAUAGGCCACCCAACCGAAGACUGAUUGUCCUCUAAGCUUGCCUAAGUUCUGAAGGCCUGGGAGAAUUUCCUAACCCCUUCAGACCUGUUCUCUAGAACCACGUGUCCCAAAGUAUGAUCCACCAUCAACAAUGGUCCACAGUCCAGUGGUGGGCUGUGAAGAUGGCAAAAUGAUACGAAAAUAAGAGUGCUCUUUGCAGUUCUGAUAAGAAAUGACAUAAACUUCUAUACAGGCUUUGAUUUUUGUGAGUGGAUAUGGGAUAGUUCUUAAUCACAUAUCAAGCAUGCAAUGAAAGUUUGUCAAAAAAGCUAACGUUGAGUAUUUCUGGACUAAAGUGAGCAGUUUCUAGCAUUUCCUUAGACCUCUUUAAGUCCAUAGACCUCCCGGGUCUGGCUUCCUCACACUUCCUAGCACAGGACUGGAGCUCCAGUUACACGUGUGGCUAUGCAGAGAGCUGGGACUCCUGAAACUUCAGGAGAUGACUGUUUUAUCAAUACAGCAUCACCAUUGUCAUGAAUGAGUCCUAGUUUUCAAUAGCUGAGUUUCUUGAUGAAUUAAGGUAUCUGUACUCAUGCUAAUUAAUCAUUUUGUUUUUAACUUAUGCACUAUUUUAUUUUUGCUAAAAUUAUAUUCUUCUUCAAUGCUUUAUUAACACAAAGUUCUUCCACUUGAAAAUGAGACCAAGUCACAGAUGGUAUUGUCCCCAUUGCGGAGGGGGCACGGCCUGGGUCACAGAGACAAAGGAAUCCCAACUAAAAAAUACUGACGUGAACAGGUGGG